UUGGGAGCUCACUGGCUUUGGAUUUCAUGCGAACUCUGAAGUUAAGCAAGUUUGGACUAGAGCAAUCCCAAGAUGGGUGAUCCACUGGGAAGUUGCUCGUGAGUUCCCAAA
This 111-nucleotide ribosomal RNA is filed under the name Prunus dulcis (almond). The record is from RNAcentral. Lineage: Eukaryota; Viridiplantae; Streptophyta; Magnoliopsida; Rosales; Rosaceae.